UGUAAUACAAUAACUUUAAAGGUGGUUGGAGAGAAUUGAUCUGAUUUCACCCUCUCGCCAUGGGCAUCCUUUGUCACGAUGAUUUUAAUUCUUGGAAGCAAGUAUUCUGGAUGUACUUUACCCGGUCAUAUAGCUUCGGACCCAAGACCACAGUCGAGG
This is a long non-coding RNA of Limulus polyphemus (Atlantic horseshoe crab), 159 nucleotides long. RefSeq lists it as uncharacterized. The record is from RefSeq and is a predicted model, not a curated record. NCBI's taxonomy places the organism in Eukaryota, Metazoa, Arthropoda, Merostomata, Xiphosura, Limulidae. The transcript has 2 exons.